RNAcentral lists this long non-coding RNA (5685 nucleotides) under Betta splendens (Siamese fighting fish). Its description in RNAcentral is "lncRNA (ENSBSLG00000001157.1)". The record is from RNAcentral. Lineage: Eukaryota; Metazoa; Chordata; Actinopteri; Anabantiformes; Osphronemidae.
AUGUCAGGGCUAAGUGUCCACGAGAGAAUCCCAUCAAUUGACAGCGGCUUCCACAAUGCUCCUGAUCAGAGGCGUCAUGAAGGCGGUUCCAGCUGCCGAUUACAUAAUCAGCUGCCGCUUGACGGCUUGGUGGUGUCAUGGAAACGGGACGGGCGUUGGCUGGCCGGUGGGCGUCGGCUCAUUAUUCCCUCCCCCACCUCUUCUGACUCCGGGUUAUAUGUUUGUGAGGCGUUGCUUAGCAACAGCACUGCCAAACCUGCGGAGGCAAGGGCACACAUCACCGUAAUGGAACCGCCCGCUCUGACUGCAGAACCCAAGACGAAGAUCCUCGCGGAGCUCGACAAGAAUGUAGACAUCCCGUGUGUUGCUACAGGCGUGCCCCAGCCCAGGGUGGAGUGGUAUAAGGACGCUGUGCCUCUCUCCAAACUGGCCAACCCCCGCUACAAGGUCACCGCCGCGGCCGGGCUGACGGUGCGCAGGGUGCAGCCGGGGGACGGGGGCAUAUUCCAGUGCAUCGCCCGCAGCGCUGCCGGAGAGAGCCAGGCGCACACGCAGCUCCUCGUCUCCAGUGUGGCCCCUACAUUUACAUCCCCCCCAUCUGACCGAACAGUAACUGAUGGAAACACAGCCCUGUUUAGCUGCCAGACGAGCGGCGCCCCAAAGCCUGCCAUCACCUGGAGGAAAGGAUUGCUGGUCUUAGCCAGCGGCUCCGUCCAGGUUCCCAGGUUCACGCUGUUGCAGACGGGCGGUUUGCAGAUUCAGCCAGUCAGCUUCCAGGAUUCAGGAGAAUACACCUGCAUCGCCUCCAACUCAGAGGGAACCAUCAAUACCACAGCUACACUCACUGUGUGGAGUCGUACAGUCAUUUCUGUGCCUCCAACGGAUCAGCGAGUUAUCAAAGGAACCACCGCUACUCUGAUCUGCAACGCUACGCGUGACCCCCGAGUCGAUAUCAGCGGGGGCCGUGUUUCUGUGCGUCAGGGCUCCCUCACUAUCGGUCAGACGUGGUCAGGUGACAUCGGGGACUACACCUGCACGGUGACAUCACAGGCCGGCAACGACUCUCGCUCUGCGCGCCUUGAAGUCAUAGAGCUGCCACACUCCCCUCGCUCCCUGACGGCCCACCUCAACGACUCCGAUUCCCGCUCCGUCCUCCUGUCCUGGCUGCGACCCUUCGACGGGAACUCCCCUCUCCUUCACUACGUGCUGGAGCUGUCUGAGAACAACUCCCCAUGGAAGGUCUACUUACCAGAGGUGGAUCCAGCUGUGACCAAUGUGUCGGUGGGCGGGCUCACGCCGGCCCGGACCUAUCAGUUCAGGCUCUGUGCUGUCAAUCAGGUGGGCCGGGGUCAGUACAGCUCAGAGACUCAGAGAUUAAUGCUGCGAGAGGAGGCGCCGAGUGCUCCUCCGAAGAAUAUCGUGGCCAGUGGGCGGACGAACCAGUCCAUCAUGGUCCAGUGGCAGCCUCCGCCGGAACCGCAGCUCAACGGAGUCCUGCGAGGAUACGUACUCAGGUACCGUCUUGCAGGGCUGCCAGGAGACUACCAGGAGAAAAACAUCAGCAGCCCAGAGACUAACUACUGUCUGCUGAAGGACCUGAUCAUCUGGACCCAAUACCAGAUCCAGGUGGCGGCCUACACCGGAGCGGGCCUGGGCGUCUACAGCAGCCCUGUCACAGAGUACACUCUGCAGGGAGUUCCCACAGCUCCUCCGCAGGAAGUGGAAGUUGUAGCUAUCAACUCGACAACCAUCCGCUUCACAUGGAACCCUCCACCUCAGCAGUUUAUUAAUGGCAUCAAUCAAGGCUACAAGCUGCUGGUGUGGCCGGAGCAGUCUCCAGAGGACGUCACCGUGGUGACCAUCACCCCCGACUACCCCGGCUCGCGGCACACGGGCUUGGUCAGCGGUCUCAGGAAGUUCACCUGGUACUUUGGCUCCACCCUCUGCUUCACGACGCCUGGGGACGGACCCCGCAGCCCCCCCACGCUGCUGCAGACGCACGAGGACGCUCCUGGACCUGUUCGGGACCUCAGCUUCACUGAAAUCUUGGACACCUCCCUUCGAGUCAGCUGGUCGGAGCCUGAAGACAAGAAUGGCAUCAUCACUGGCUACGUGCUGUGGUGGGACGUUCCUGAUGUGGAGUCGAGUCGUGAGGAACGCUCCCUGUCCAACUCCACUCUGCGGUACCAGGUGACCGGCCUCACCUCCACCACCGCCUACAAACUGCAAGUGGCGGCGCUCACCGCCGCAGGACGGGGCGUGGUCACGUCCUCCACCAUCUCCACCGGCGUCCCACCAGAACUUCCAGGCGCUCCCUAUAAUUUAGUCAUCUCCAACAUCAGCCCUCGGACAGCGACGCUUCGAUUCCACCCCGGCCCGGACGGAAAGACAGCGAUCUCACGGUGGAUCGUAGAGGGACAGGUGUGUGAGCGUGGAAAGGAGGAGCCCUGGAGAGUUGUGUAUCAGAAAGACAAUCAGCCAGACGCUGACACGCUGGAGAUCCCUAACCUCACCCCAUUCACUCAGUACCGGUUCAGGAUGCAGCAGGUGAACGUUGUGGGUCCCAGUCCUGUGAGCGCCCCCUCCAGGACGAUUCAGACACUACAGGCAGCCCCGGACACGCACCCCUCCAACCUCACGCUGCUGUCCGCCACACAGACCAGCCUGCGCCUCAGCUGGAAGCCUCUUCAAAGGUCUGAGUACCACAGCAGCCCGGACACGGUGGGCUACCGGCUGCGCGUGUGGAGGACAGACGGGCAGGGGGACGACAGGACCGAGGACGUGGACGGAGCAGCGGAGUCCAGCGAGGACGCCGUGGAGGGUCUUAGUCCCUGGACCCAGUACCAGCUUCAGAUACAGGCCUACAACUCCAUCGGACCCGGACCCUGGAGCGGCACUGUCGCUGCACGCACUGCAGAAUCUGUUCCAUCUGGAUCACCGGUGAAUGUGACUGCUGAGGCGAUGAGUUCCACCAGGAUCCUGCUCACGUGGUCCCCGGUCCCUCAGGCCCAGAAGAAUGGCGUCAUCCUGGGAUAUAAGGUGUUGUACAACGAGAAAGACUCGGAGGGUCCCCCCAGAGUUCGCGACGCACAAGGAGAGGGCAGCUCCUCCGUGCUCCUCGAGGGUCUCCAGAAGUACACGGCGUAUGUGCUGCAGGUGCUGGCACACACGCGGAUGGGCGACGGCCCUCCCAGCAGCGCCAUCCUGCUCUGGACCAGAGAGGACGUCCCAGGCCCCCCUGUCAGGAUGGUGUUCCCAGAGGUUCGAUUGUCAUCAGUCAGGGUGGUUUGGCAGCCACCCACGAAGCCCAAUGGCAACAUACUGGGCUACCAGAUCUCCUACCGCCUCGACAGCAGGGACCCUCUGCGUUGGACCACAGUGGAGGUGGGCUCCACUGGUCGCCAGUUCACCGUCACAGGGCUCUCCCCUGAGCAGAGCUACGUGUUCCGACUCACCGCCCGCACCGCCGUGGGCUGGGGCGACGCGCAGGAGGCGGUGGUCGUCACCACGGAACGCCGAGAGCGUCCGCAGCCGCCCAGGAAGCUGUCGGUUCCUCAGGACGGCGUUGAGUCUCGCCACCUGCUCCUCCACUGGGUGACGGGCGGCUCGGGCUCCUCCCCCCUGCGCUACCUCACCCUGCAGGUCAAGGAGCUGCCGAGCGGCGAGUGGAGCGUGCACGCCGCCGAUAUCCCACACAACGCGACCGCCUGGACCGUGGACCGGCUGAAGCCCUUCACAUCUUACAAGUUCCGUCUGCUGGCAACCAACGACAUAGGAGACAGCCUCCUCAGCAAAGAGACAGAGCCCGUUACAACUCUGCAGGAUGUGCCUGAUGAACCUCCAGUGAUCCUCGCAGUGAAGCCUACAACUACUACCUCAGUCCUGGUGCAGUGGAAGCGGCCCAGUGACGACAGCACCAACGGAGUUCUGACUGGAUACCGGCUCUAUUACCGAGAGCUUCCAGCAAACGGCUCCAGCUCCACCCAAAGCACCUUCAAGACCGUCAGCAGUGCCUCGCUGACGGAGUUCGAGUUGACGCAGCUGAAGAAGUUCCGACGUUACCAGAUUGUGAUGACGAGCUACAACAUCAUCGGGGAGAGUCCGCCCUCGGCGCCGGUGGAGGUCUCUGUCGGAGAGGCAGCUCCGUCCGUGGCCCCUCAGUCGAUCAGAGUGUCAGCCGUGUCUCCCUCAGUCCUGGAAGUGACCUGGGCCUCACCGCCCAUCGAGACCCAGAACGGACUCAUCCAAGGAUACAAGAUCCACUACUGGGAGAAGGACAAACAGAACCAGACUGAGAAGGUGAAGGUGAUCUUCGUCCCGGACACUCGCGUGCAUCUCACCAACCUGAGCAGCUUCACGCCUUUCCUGGUCACGCUGAGCGCCUUCAACACGGCUGGAGACGGACCCCCCAGCGAGCCCCGUGGAGCCAAGACCAUGCAGUCCGCUCCCAGCCAGCCCAGCUACCUGUCCUUCACGGAGGUGACAGGCGUGAGCGCCAACGUGUCCUGGGGAGCUCCGCUCGCUCCCAACGGGCAGCUGGAGGGCUACAGGGUCAUCUACCAGCCCACGGCGCCCGUGCAAGGCGUGAGUAAAGUGGUGACGGUGGACGUGAAGGGGAGCUGGCAGCGGUCGCUGAAGGUCCGGGACCUGGUGAGAGGAGCGACGUACAUGUUCAGUGUUCAGGCCCUCACAGUCAGCUACGGACCCCCGUUACAGGCCAACCUGACUGCUCACCCUGUGCAAGGCUCUCCGGGUUCACCUGUGGACAUGUCCAUAACCAAGACGUCCUCUGAGCUGAACAUCCACUGGUCUGAGGGCGACAGCGGCGCAGCCCCUGUGAGCGGAUACGUGGUAGAAGCUCGUCCCUCGGAUGAAGGCCUGUGGGAAUCCUUCAGCCGACCCCUCCCCGCCAGCAGCAGGUCCAUUUCAGUGCCACUGGAGCGCCUGAGGUCAGGGAUCAGCUACGAGUUCCGGGUCGUUGCUGUUAAUCGCUAUGGUUACGGGGAGCCCAGUACACCCUCAGCUUCGCUCGCUGCGCUGUCGGAGCGCCCGUUCUACGAGGAGUGGUGGUUCCUGCUGGUCAUGGCUCUGGUGGGGCUCAUCCUCAUUCUGGUCCUGGUCUUCACACUGCUGCUGCACGGACACAGCACCAAGUACAAGGCCUGUGGCACCGGGAAGCACAUGUCCACAGCAGAGGAGUCUGUAACUCUGGACAAUGGCGGAUUCACAGCGCUGGAGCUCAACAGCAGAACACUCAACACCAAGAACUCCUUCCUGAAGAAGAAUGGCACCAGGUCUCCUCCCAGGCCGAGUCCAGGCGGUCUUCACUACUCUGACGAGGACAUCUGUAACAACUACAACGGAGCCGUCCUCACAGAGAGCACCACACUGACUGAGAAGCAGACGGAGGUCUCUGAGUCUGAGCUCACAGACAGCGACUAUGAGGACGAGCAGCCAAAGCACUCCUUCGUCAACCACUACAUGAGCGACCCCACCUACUACAACUCCUGGAAGCGGCAGCCCAAAGGCCUUAAAGCCAUCGGCACUUCGUUCGGCUACGAGGAAUGUGCCACUGCAGACUCGGAGCCCUACUACCAGACCGUGCCUGUGCACACGCACGUCAACCCCAACACCAACCCGCCGGGGUCACGCACCCCAGUCACAGGGUUCUCCUCCUUCGUUUGA